This 815-nucleotide ribosomal RNA is filed under the name Thelastoma icemi. Its description in RNAcentral is "SSU rRNA". It matches the Rfam family "Eukaryotic small subunit ribosomal RNA", at positions 489 to 1310 of the family's 1831-position model. Lineage: Eukaryota; Metazoa; Nematoda; Chromadorea; Rhabditida; Thelastomatidae. The record is from RNAcentral.
UUCUCGUUGAGGCCGGUUGGAGGAAUGGGUACAAUUUAAACCCGUUAACGAGGAUCUAUGAGAGGGCAAGUCUGGUGCCAGCAGCCGCGGUAAUUCCAGCUCUCAAAGUGUAUAUCGUCAUUGCUGCGGUUAAAAAGCUCGUAGUUGGAUCUGCGCUUGAGGACUCGGUCCACCCGUUGGGUGAGAACUGGGCUCCUCGGCUAGAAUAUGUUGGUUUUCCCUGCGUUGCCUUCACCGGUCGCGUAGGGUGGCUGACGAGUUUACUUUGAAAAAAUUAGAGUGCUUCAAGCGGGCAUUUAGUCUGAAUAUUUGUGCAUGGAAUAAUAGAAUAGGAUUUCGGUUCUAUUUUGUUGGUUUUCUGAACUGAGAUAAUGGUUAAGAGGGACAGACGGGGGCAUUCGUAUCGCUGCGUGAGAGGUGAAAUUCUUGGACCGUAGCGAGACGCCCGACUGCGAAAGCAUUUGCCAAGAAUGUCUUCAUUAAUCAAGAACGAAAGUCAGAGGUUCGAAGGCGAUCAGAUACCGCCCUAGUUCUGACCGUAAACGAUACCAACUAGCGUUCCGUCGCUGGCAAACACGCCUUGACGGGCAGCUUCCCGGAAACGAAAGUUUUUCGGUUCCGGGGGAAGUAUGGUUGCAAAGCUGAAACUUAAAGAAAUUGACGGAAGGGCACCACCAGGAGUGGAGCCUGCGGCUUAAUUUGACUCAACACGGGAAAACUCACCUGGCCCGGACACCGUGAGGAUUGACAGAUUGAGAGCUCUUUCUUGAUUCGGUGGUUGGUGGUGCAUGGCCGUUCUUAGUAGGGGGAGUGAU